GCCUUGUGCUGCGAGUGUCAUUCCAAUUUUGUGCCAUCGGUUUGUGGGGCGCAGUCUGCGUCGUGUAUUAUAGUUUAAGAAUCAAAGGCUGUUGAAGUCCAGGCAGAACAUUCUGUGACAGCUACACAAUCAUGGAGAUUUCUCGGGCAAAGGAUCUUCUUGCCUGCAUUUGGAGGCAGAGUGAAGUCGGCUCGGACAGCUGCCCGCCGGAGCUGCUGGAGCGCGUGCGCCGGCUGACCCAGCAGCUGGCGGCCGGGCCGGCGGGCGCCCCGCCCGAG
This is a long non-coding RNA of Pollicipes pollicipes, 278 nucleotides long. RefSeq lists it as uncharacterized. The transcript is spliced from 3 exons. Lineage: Eukaryota; Metazoa; Arthropoda; Thecostraca; Pollicipedomorpha; Pollicipedidae. The record is from RefSeq and is a predicted model, not a curated record.